CCCUCCCUCUUUCUUCAGGCCUAACACAUGCAAGUCGAGCGAGGACUUCGGUUCUAGCGGCGGACGGGUGAGUAACGCGUGGGAAUGUGCCCUUCUCUACGGAAUAGCCCUGGGAAACUGGGAGUAAUACCGUAUACGCCCUAUUGGGGAAAGAUUUAUCGGAGAAGGAUCAGCCCGCGUUGGAUUAGGUAGUUGGUGGGGUAAUGGCCUACCAAGCCGACGAUCCAUAGCUGGUUUGAGAGGAUGAUCAGCCACACUGGGACUGAGACACGGCCCAGACUCCUACGGGAGGCAGCAGUGGGGAAUCUUAGACAAUGGGGGCAACCCUGAUCUAGCCAUGCCGCGUGAGUGAUGAAGGCCUUAGGGUUGUAAAGCUCUUUCAGCUGGGAAGAUAAUGACGGUACCAGCAGAAGAAGCCCCGGCUAACUCCGUG
This 433-nucleotide ribosomal RNA is filed under the name uncultured bacterium. RNAcentral's name for it is "partial 16S ribosomal RNA". It matches the Rfam family "Bacterial small subunit ribosomal RNA", at positions 36 to 507 of the family's 1533-position model. The record is from RNAcentral.